Macaca nemestrina (pig-tailed macaque) is the source of this 1714-nucleotide long non-coding RNA. The record is from Ensembl. NCBI's taxonomy places the organism in Eukaryota, Metazoa, Chordata, Mammalia, Primates, Cercopithecidae.
AUCUAGACAUGGCUCAAGAUCCCAAGGCCGGCCCUGCCCAGCCAGGCCAGAAGAGGCAGCAGGGCACACGUGUUUUCUGGGUCUAUGAAUACCAGAGGAUCCGGAUGCCCACACUCAUCAACCACAUGCCUGUCAAGAUCCGGAGGGCCCACAUGGGCAUGGGGGUCAGGAGCGGCUUCAGCCCCCAACGGGUCUCCAGGAACAGCCCCCUGCCCUCUGGGCAGAAAAAGUUCCCCACCGAGGAGCUGCAUGACAUCCAGGGGGCGCUGUGGCAGAUCAAAGCCCAGGUGGACAGUCUGCUGCAGAGCCUGGAGCGCAUGGACCGGCAGCAGGUCCCACCCGCAGCCACAAAGGACAGUGGAAAAAACAGGGGUCCUGGUAGCAAGGGCUCCUCCUGCAGCUCUGAGCCCCCGCAGAAGCCCCAGAGCGAGGAGGCUGGUCCAGAGGCAGAUGGCUACGAGGGCGGCACAGACACGGAGUGGACAGUGAAGAACCACGCUGAAGACCAGGCCAGCCAGGAGGCAGCAGGAACCCCUCCAGCCUCAUCAGCUCCUGGCAUUCUCGAUAGACAGCUCCUUGCCUUGCGUAGGUUUUGAAAGCCACCUUAGCAACCUGAAUGCCUGAUCUGGAGCUGGGGCAAUGGAAGUGGACACAGGGCUUGCCAGACAAGCAGAGGGCCAACCUGUAGUGGUGGGUUUUAGCUUCUUUAGAGGUUGCAUUUCGAGAUGAUGGUCCUGGGACUGACACGGUUAGGAGGUGGCCUGGAACUGCACCAGGUCGCCAUCCUCAUGAAGCUGAGGCUCUCUUGCAAGGGGCAGAUGACAGCCCAUCCCCACCCCACCCCACCCCUCAGAGGGCACCCUCAGCCUUGUCUGAAUGCAGACACAGCUGAUCUUCACUCCCCUCCCGAUGCACCGCCAGUCAACAGAUAGCCAACAGAUCUCCCUGAGUUUCCAAUCUCCCUGAAACUGCUGGAAUGUUCUCAGUGUGUACCCCACACAGCCCUCUUUGGGCUCCAGACUCCCCAUCUACUCUAGGAAGUCACCCUUCAGAAUUACAUUAUGUCCUCUCCCCACUGGUGUGAUACUAUUUCAGACCUGCUCUAGAAAGACACGUUAUGUCAGAAGGGAAAAAAUAAAAUUUGUAUUUUUCCUGGUCAGGGGUUCUAGGUGUGGCCCCAGAAACUCAUUCUGGUCCUUGGGCUGACCCAGGCCGGCCCUUCCUAGAGAAGCUGAGUGCAGAGAGAGGGGACCAGGCCGCCUUCCAAAUGGCAGUCACCUAGCUUCCUACCAUGCAGUCUUGAGCCCAAACCAGCAGAGCUGGUAGGGACACAGGAAAGACCCCACCUCGUGGCCAGUCAGUCAGGUUGUACCUGGCCUUCCUAGCAGUGCACCUGCCCUCUGCGGUGCUGCUCAGGGUCUUCCUUGUAGGACCAGGGUGCCACUUCUCACCAGCAGUGGAGGCUCGGGUUGUGCCAUUCUGUACAUGGCCAAGGACAGAUGGCUUCUACCCAGACCAAAACCCUUUUCAGCUACCCAGCACCAAGCCAGGUUGGGGCACGAGGUGCACUCAGCGCACUUCUGGGGCCGUACUUUUUUUACUGAGACGGAGUCUUGCUCUUGUUGCCCAGGCUGGAGUGCAAUGGUGCGAUCUCCACUCACCGCAACCUCCACCUCCCGGGUUCAAGCGAUUCUCCUGCCUCAGCCUCCCGAGU